GGUCCCAUGGUGUAAUGGUUAGCACACUGGACUCUGAAUCCAGCGAUCCGAGUUCAAAUCUCGGUGGGACCU
This 72-nucleotide transfer RNA is filed under the name Stylophora pistillata. RNAcentral describes it as "tRNA-Gln". It matches the Rfam family "tRNA". From Rfam's summary of the family: Transfer RNA (tRNA) molecules are approximately 80 nucleotides in length. Their secondary structure includes four short double-helical elements and three loops (D, anti-codon, and T loops). Lineage: Eukaryota; Metazoa; Cnidaria; Anthozoa; Scleractinia; Pocilloporidae. The record is from Rfam by way of RNAcentral. RNAcentral also lists the same sequence under 1 other name.